This 97-nucleotide ribosomal RNA is filed under the name uncultured bacterium. RNAcentral's name for it is "partial 16S ribosomal RNA". It matches the Rfam family "Bacterial small subunit ribosomal RNA", at positions 1388 to 1482 of the family's 1533-position model. The record is from RNAcentral.
CACCGCCCGUCACGCCAUGGAAGUUGGGAGUGCCUGAAGUUCGUGAGCCAACCCGCAAGGGAGGCAGCGGCCGAAGGCAAGUUCAAUGACUGGGGCG